UACGAGGGGGGCAAGUGUUGUUCGGAAUCACUGGGCGUAAAGCGCGCGUAGGUGGCCACAUAAGUCCGUUGUGAAAGUCAAAGGCUCAACCUUUGAAAGCCGAUGGAUACUGUGUGGCUAGAGUACGGAAGAGGCGAGUGGAAUUCCUGGUGUAGCGGUGGAAUGCGCAGAUAUCAGGAGGAACACCAAUAGCGAAGGCAGCUCGCUGGGACGUUACUGACACUGAGGCGCGAAAGCGUGGGGAGCGAACAGG
This 253-nucleotide ribosomal RNA is filed under the name uncultured bacterium. RNAcentral describes it as "partial 16S ribosomal RNA". It matches the Rfam family "Bacterial small subunit ribosomal RNA", at positions 524 to 776 of the family's 1533-position model. The record is from RNAcentral.